Long non-coding RNA from Xiphophorus hellerii (green swordtail), 749 nucleotides. RefSeq lists it as uncharacterized. The record is from RefSeq and is a predicted model, not a curated record. NCBI's taxonomy places the organism in Eukaryota, Metazoa, Chordata, Actinopteri, Cyprinodontiformes, Poeciliidae. The transcript has 2 exons.
UUUUGUUUAAAAAUUGUUUCAAUUCAAAAUGUAUUGAUCACAAUUGUAUUUUAUUUAAUUGAGGUUAUUAUUAUAUUUUUAAUAGAAUAAUUGUGAAACAUAUUGAGCUCCACAGCAGAGGCCUCCUUUUCUCUGAAAUUAAUAUUAUGUUGUGCUAAGGACUGAAAAACAUAUUGGUUUAAACACAAAGGUAAAUAAUUGGUAGUGUGGUUAAUACAGUGUUCUUAUCAUAAUUCAUUAUGUUUUGCUUUUUUCAGUUCAAAGAUGCCACGUAAAGAAAGACGGCAGAAACAAAAAAGAAAAGAAUUGAUAGAUGCAGCAAAAGGUAGUGGAUUGUUGACCGACUGGGUCAGAACGAGUACUGCAGAUGGACAGAAGGAAAGUGAUAGAUCAGAGGAGGAGACAAAAAUGCAGUCAACAACACAGGAAGACAGGCAAGGAGAGGGACAACAGUCAGAAAUCAAAGACACAGAAAUGCAGUCAACACAGGAAGACAGGCAAGGAGAGGGACAACAGUCAGAAAUAAACACCAUGGAUGAAAAUGCAGAGCAACAAGUCAGAGAGAAGCCAUUCAUAUUUUUAAUGGACCUUCCACACCCAAAUGACCCAGCACAUGUCUUGCAAUUCAACAUAAAAUAUGAUGAAGCAUUUAUCCAAAAUUGUGUAAACCAAGGACCAUGCCAACCAGAGCUGUCAUUUCCUAAAAAUGAAGAAGGAAGGUCUUUUCAGAAUAAAUGGUAUAAGAGUAA